UUCUCUCCAAAAGUGGCAAUACGGCUUCCGGGAUCCAGAAACAUAUUCUUAAUUAAUUUAACUAGAGUGGAGGCGCUCAAGGUGAGCUCAGAACGAAUCUUCAAGUCACAACACUAGCCUUGAGAUUAUGCAACCCGGCGGCAUUGCCGACGCGUACAAAAAGCUUGCCUCAGCUAUUGAAGGAGCAACAUAGCGCAGUGGGAAUGAAAACUGACCAUCGAUGUUGUCUGAGAGGAUCUCCGAUUUUAUGGACCUAAUUGCAUUAUACCGAGGUGGGAAGUAAGAUUGCAUUCACUAAUGGAUUACUAUUAGAACUAGAGUGCCCAGAAGAACUGCCAAGGCAAUAUUUUUGCAAGGCCUCGAAUUGUGAAAGAUGCCGCAAAUCAACAUAAUAUCCCACCAAUCAUUUUUAUUCCAAAUCAUAGUGGUGACAUUCAUUGCAAACUUCUGCAUCAUUUACACGGUCUGGAAGUUGUCGAUAGAGGAAGAAGACGAAGAUGAGAAAUUUAAAUCAGCAAUUUUUUUAGAUAAAAUAUGUAAGUUUUGUUUGAGACCGGAAAAUCUUACGAAAA
This is a non-coding RNA of Bemisia tabaci, 572 nucleotides long. Lineage: Eukaryota; Metazoa; Arthropoda; Insecta; Hemiptera; Aleyrodidae. The record is from RefSeq and is a predicted model, not a curated record.